Molecule: ribosomal RNA, 468 nt
Filed under: uncultured bacterium
Lineage: Bacteria
Description: partial 16S ribosomal RNA
Rfam family: Bacterial small subunit ribosomal RNA
Source: RNAcentral
GACGAACGCUGGCGGCGUGCUUAACACAUGCAAGUCGAACGGAAAGGCCCUGCUUUUGUGGGGUGCUCGAGUGGCGAACGGGUGGGUAACACGUGGGUAACCUGCCCUUGACUUUGGGAUAACUUCAGGAAACUGGGGCUAAUACCGGAUAGGAGCUCCUGCUGCAUGGUGGGGGUUGGAAAGUUUCGGCGGUUGGGGAUGGACUCGCGGCUUAUCAGCUUGUUGGUGGGGUAGUGGCUUACCAAGGCUUUGACGGGUAGCCGGCCUGAGAGGGUGACCGGCCACAUUGGGACUGAGAUACGGCCCAGACUCCUACUGGAGGCAGCAGUGGGGAAUAUUGCACAAUGGGCGGAAGCCUGAUGCAGCAACGCCGCGUGCGGGAUGACGGCCUUCGGGUUGUAAACCGCUUUCGCCUGUGACGAAGCGUGAGUGACGGUAAUGGGUAGAGAAGCACCGGCUAACUACGUG